CCUAGGAGAUGUUAGGGUGGCACUUAAGGAAUUUCUACUUCAGGUGAAUGACACAUAAAUAAAAUAGAACCUGGAUGUAAGGAUGUAUUCUACAAAUUGUUGGUGACCUCAGUAAACAGAAUGCAGAGUGAAUGACAUUCUGCUUCCCAAGGGGUUCAGAUGACUGGGUAUCAGUCCAUAGGGAUCAUGCUCUGAUAGGAAGCUGUCCUGGUUGUUAAGAUGCUGGAGACAGAAACAGUGAUGGAGAUGGUGAUUGCAGUGCUAACAAUUUUGGAGCUUCAGAGAGCCCCCAGUCAAGCUGCCUCCUGUACCUUCAUCAGGGAAUUCCUGAGAUGCAGUGUUUAUGAGUCGUCACCCUUGCUGGAGGUGGCCUUCCCAUGAUGCAGCUGUCUUUGAGUAACCCAUGUUUCUUGGUGGCCAAAGAAAUAAGUCUGAGAGCAUCGUGGCAUGGGAAAGAAAUGUGAGAGAUCUUCUAGAACCCUAUACCACCACACUGGGAAAUGGUCCUGGUACCUCCUCCUCCUUGCUGUUCACGUUUGCAAUCCAUCCCUGAUGUGGCUGGUGCUCAGUUCAAGAAGGGGAAAAUCUGAAAUGUACAAUAUAGUAUUUCAUGACAAGUGCCACGGUGGGUCCGGUGUUAAAUAGAACCUCCUACUGUAAAGUGUUAAGUCUUCAUGUGGCUGUGAGAGGAAAUCACACAAUAAGAAGAACUCCAAGAGAAGACAAGGAAUGGGGAAGGUAGAAAGCAAAGUUCAUGCAACAAAUUCUGUGUGUCACGUACAUUAAACAUGUACAAAUACAGUCUACUGGAGUCUUACAGAGAGCUGAAAAGGCCGAGAUGAUUUCUAAGGCAAACAGAAGAGUUCCAUUAUUGAACUUGGAGGACCCACAUUUGACCACAGUCUUGGUGUCAUGGUCUGAAUGUCGUUACAUCUUUGUUAUAUGUGCAUACAUGUUGACUUUUCUAAAGCCACUGAAAUGAGAGUAUGAAGAUGAAUAUACAAGGAUAGAUAGAGAGAUGGAUGGUAGACAGAGGACAGUUAGCAAGCCAAACAAGUUUUAUUUGUUUACAAAACAUUAAAAGACAUUAAUCAUCAUUUCAUCAUCACAUAUCACCAAGUGAUAUACUUUUGAUGAUGCUUCACUGGGAGAUUCUUUUCAAAGAACAGAAUGGUAUGACCAGUGAACCUUCUCUUGCCAUCUGAAAAUGGGGCAAUUGCACCGUAGACUCUCAAUGUCACGAGAAGAGGGGACAUGGAUAAUUGAUGGCAGUGUCUUUCUCUUCCCUGAUUCACCACAAGUAACUUGAAGGCAUUUGUUUUAUAAAUUAGCAGUUCAAAAAUUCAAAGAUAGCUCAGUGUUAGUGCUCUUGCCUAGAAGGCAUGUCCUGAGCCUCAUCCUCAGUACCAGCCCCAACACACAGAUGUGAAAUCUGGGGUUAGAGGGAUCAAGAGAAUUGCUCUUGAGUAAAAACAAGAGAGAGACAUCCAUCAUUCCUCACACCACAUGGAAGUCAAAGCCACAUCUAAAUUUCUCGGGCUGUACCUAACAAGACCCACUCCUUCAAAGAUGGCUGCUCAUUGAGUAUGAAAACAAGAGAGGUCGAUUUAAGGAGAUCAUUUAUCUCUAAAGGCUGCUUCACCACUGCUAAAAGCUACAAUAAAGUAAUGAAGGCUGUGGGGACAGAGAGGGUAGAGGGGGUCAGCAGCACAUGGAGGAGGAGGUGGCUGUCCUGGCACCGCAUGGAGGGUGUGGACAGGCUGAGAGGCACAGCCAGAAAUAGGAGGUGUGCAGAAACUCCCUCUGAGAGACGAUGACAAUGGGUGCAUUUCAGAGGAUAGGGUGCCCACCGAAGACAGGGAUCUGCACCCUAAAAGUGUCACAUUUUGACUUGGACACACCCAACAGAGCAUAUAAAGGAAAGGAAGAUGGGCAGGUAAAGUGAACCCCUAUAAGAGAGCAGAGGAACCUCACUGUCUCUUCCUUCAUGUGUCUAUUGUCAGGGUAGAAUGUUUUCUGAUGGAUCCACACACCAACCACAUGUAAUCACACAUGCACCCACACAGGCAUGUAUGCACACAUAAGUGGACAUGCAUCUGCACAUACACAACAUAUUCAUAGGCACAUGCAGUAGUCAAUUUUUUCUCCUUUAGAUAGACUUAGCUUUCUCUGAAAGAUUAAUGAAAGUGACAGAAUCUGGAUUUUGAAAGACAAGAAAUCCCUCUUCUCAGUGACUCCUGUCUGCUACAGUGAAGACCUGUCUAUGAAUCAGUGGUCAAUGUACAUGUAUGGAGCUGAAGCCACAGCAGGAGACACCAGUCAGAUGUGUGUGAGCAGUUUCCAGACUGCAGGCCAGGGGAGCAAAGAGCUGAAGGGUGACCUAUAGCCAUCUUUUCUCUAUAUUACUCUUUCCCUUUCAAAACUGACAAAACUUGUCUCCUUGGGAAGUAAGUCUAUGAAGGGUGACUUUGGACAGCUUAAGGAGAGAUGCAAGAGUAUCCAACAAUAAAUGUCACCUUUGGUUUC
Peromyscus maniculatus bairdii (prairie deer mouse) is the source of this 2526-nucleotide non-coding RNA. Lineage: Eukaryota; Metazoa; Chordata; Mammalia; Rodentia; Cricetidae. The record is from RefSeq and is a predicted model, not a curated record.